GCUAGCUACAGGCUUAACACAUGCAAGUCGAGGGGCAGCAUGGUCUUAGCUUGCUAAGGCCGAUGGCGACCGGCGCACGGGUGAGUAACGCGUAUCCAACCUGCCUUACACUCUUGGACAGCCUUCUGAAAGGGAGAUUAAUACAGGAUGUUAUCAUGAGUAAGCAUUUUCGCAUGAUUAAAGGUUUACCGGUGUAAGAUGGGGAUGCGUUCCAUUAGAUAGUAGGCGGGGUAACGGCCCACCUAGUCUUCGAUGGAUAGGGGUUCUGAGAGGAAGGUCCCCCACAUUGGAACUGAGACACGGUCCAAACUCCUACGGGAGGCAGCAGUGAGGAAUAUUGGUCAAUGGACGAGAGUCUGAACCAGCCAAGUAGCGUGAAGGAUGAAGGUUCUAUGGAUUGUAAACUUCUUUUAUACGGGAAUAAACGGAUCCACGUGUGGAUUUUUGCAUGUACCGUAUGAAUAAGGAUCGGCUAACUCCGUGCCAGCAGCCGCGGUAAUACGGAGGAUCCGAGCGUUAUCCGGAUUUAUUGGGUUUAAAGGGAGCGUAGAUGGGUUGUUAAGUCAGUUGUGAAAGUUUGCGGCUCAACCGUAAAAUUGCAAUUGAUACUGGCAGUCUUGAGUACAGUUGAGGUAGGCGGAAUUCGUGGUGUAGCGGUGAAAUGCUUAGAUAUCACGAAGAACUCCGAUUGCGAAGGCAGCUUACUAACCUGUAACUGACAUUGAUGCUCGAAAGUGUGGGUAUCAAACAGGAUUAGAUACCCUGGUAGUCCACACGGUAAACGAUGAAUACUCGCUGUAGGCGAUAUACAGUCUGCGGCCAAGCGAAAGCAUUAAGUAUUCCACCUGGGGAGUACGCCGGCAACGGUGAAACUCAAAGGAAUUGACGGGGGCCCGCACAAGCGGAGGAACAUGUGGUUUAAUUCGAUGAUACGCGAGGAACCUUACCCGGGCUUAAAUUGCAACCGAAUAUGGCGGAAACGCUAUAGCUAGCAAUAGCGGUUGUGAAGGUGCUGCAUGGUUGUCGUCAGCUCGUGCCGUGAGGUGUCGGCUUAAGUGCCAUAACGAGCGCAACCCUUGCCGAUAGUUACUAACAGGUCGUGCUGAGGACUCUGUCAGGACUGCCAUCGUAAGAUGUGAGGAAGGUGGGGAUGACGUCAAAUCAGCACGGCCCUUACGUCCGGGGCUACACACGUGUUACAAUGGGGGGUACAGAGGGCUGCUACCACGCAAGUGGAUGCCAAUCCCAAAAACCUCUCUCAGUUCGGAUUGAAGUCUGCAACCCGACUUCAUGAAGCUGGAUUCGCUAGUAAUCGCGCAUCAGCCACGGCGCGGUGAAUACGUUCCCGGGCCUUGUACACACCGCCCGUCAAGCCAUGGGAGCCGGGGGUACCUGAAGUGCGUAACCGCAAGGAGCGCCCUAGGGUAAAACUGGA
This 1435-nucleotide ribosomal RNA is filed under the name uncultured organism. RNAcentral describes it as "SSU rRNA". It matches the Rfam family "Bacterial small subunit ribosomal RNA". The record is from RNAcentral.